GAUGAAGAACGUAGCGAAAUGCGAUAAGUAAUGUGAAUUGCAGAAUUCAGUGAAUCAUCGAAUCUUUGAACGCAUCUUGCGCUCCUUGGUAUUCUGAGGAGCAUGCCUGUUUGAGUGUCAUUAAAUUCUCAACUACACUGACUUUGAAUUGGUGUGGCUUGGAUUUGGGGGGAAAAUUGUUGUGGGCUUUUUGUAUAGUCUGCUCCCCUGAAAUUGAUUAUCGGUACCUUUGUGGAACUGUCUACAGGUGUGAUAAUUAUCUACAUCUUAGACAUCUGCUGGAAUGCUGCUUUCUAAACCUUACUUGUAUUGACAAUCUUGACCUCAAAUCAGGUAGGACUACCCGCUGAACUUAAGCAUAUCAAUAAGCGGAGGA
This 376-nucleotide unclassified non-coding RNA is filed under the name soil metagenome. RNAcentral describes it as "partial contains 5.8S ribosomal RNA, internal transcribed spacer 2, and large subunit ribosomal RNA". The stretch from base 1 to 120 matches the Rfam family "5.8S ribosomal RNA", at positions 35 to 154 of the family's 154-position model. The record is from RNAcentral.